GGAUUGCACCAUCAGUGCGCAAUGUGUAGCGUCAUUUCACAGCAGUACAAAUACAUGUGUAUGAAGAGUCUGCUUUAUAGGGAAACUCGGGCCUUUGCUCGACGUUAGAAAAUAUUUAGUAAUAUUAAAAUCAGACGUAAAAACGUGCCUGUUCAGGCUUAAUGCACUUAUUAAUCGAAUGAAUCAUUUGGGCCAUGUAGGAUUUUUGAGAGGAGGACGAUUAUUCUCCCUGAUCUAUGGAUCCAGGUCUCAUAUCAGCGUUUGUGCAAACAUUCGAUCUCCUAUCAGUUAAUAAAGGUGCAACAAAUAGGACGCACGUUGUUAAUUCAGCGGGAAACCACCACGUGGAAGACCUUUGGGUCGCUGGUUGUUAAAGUCGGUUUAAAUGAAUACCCUGUACACUGCAUAUGGUACAAAUUUUGGUAAAUAAGUCGUUCAUGCCCAGUUGUUUGAAGACAGCUGUGGAGGCACUAACUCCAGAAUAUAGGAUUCUUAUUCUGCUACCUAUCUACUAAAUUAGGUUCUUUUGGAAUCGGAAACUAAUGGGAUGAGAAAAUGAGUUG
Molecule: long non-coding RNA, 563 nt
Organism: Lingula anatina
Lineage: Eukaryota; Metazoa; Brachiopoda; Lingulata; Lingulida; Lingulidae
Source: RefSeq, a predicted model, not a curated record